UACGUAGGUGGCGAGCGUUGUCCGGAUUUACUGGGCGUAAAGGGAGCGUAGGCGGACCUUUAAGUGAGAUGUGAAAUACUCGGGCUCAACUUGAGUGCUGCAUUUCAAACUGGGAGUCUAGAGUGCAGGAGAGGAGAAUGGAAUUCCUAGUGUAGCGGUGAAAUGCGUAGAGAUUAGGAAGAACACCAGUGGCGAAGGCGAUUCUCUGGACUGUAACUGACGCUGAGGCACGAAAGCGUGGGGAUCAAACAGG
This 253-nucleotide ribosomal RNA is filed under the name uncultured bacterium. RNAcentral's name for it is "partial 16S ribosomal RNA". It matches the Rfam family "Bacterial small subunit ribosomal RNA", at positions 524 to 776 of the family's 1533-position model. The record is from RNAcentral.